This is a long non-coding RNA of Sinocyclocheilus rhinocerous, 801 nucleotides long. RefSeq lists it as uncharacterized. The transcript is spliced from 2 exons. Lineage: Eukaryota; Metazoa; Chordata; Actinopteri; Cypriniformes; Cyprinidae. The record is from RefSeq and is a predicted model, not a curated record.
AUGAUUUUAUGCCACAAGAAUGGACAAAGAUGGCUUACGGAUACCAAGUCCCAAGCACUGCAAUAUUUAGUACUCUUAGAACAGGGUGUUUCUCUACGAAAUUUCUCAUUAGGUACAUUAGCUCUCAUCACAAACCCACCACCAAUGAUCACAUCUGGUAUCAGUAGCUCAUAUGUAUAUAUAGUGCAUGAGUUGCUCAAUUGGUGACAAUUACCAUCCCAAGCAAAAAACAGCAUCAGAAUUCCUCCAACAGACAGUUUAUGUCAAACUUAGAUAUACAUCACACACUACUCCUCCAGAAAUGAUAAAGCAAACAAGAUUUGUCAUAUUAUAGGCAAGGAAUGACAGUCAAAUUAAAAUGUCCAGCAAAAACUAAGGCAGUAACUGAAUGAGAAGCAAUGCCUACACCAAAUGAGUUAACAAGUAUUGUUCACCUUGUAAUAGAAGCCUUUUGAGGAAGACUACCCAGGCUCCUUUGUCCUCGGUCACCGAUUUGUCAUUACUCAUGAAAUCCCUACUCAAUAUAACAGACAUGUUAACUAUCCCUCAUAACAGUGAUGUUAAAGUCAGUCCAACACACGAGGACCACAUGUGAGAGACCUGUCAUUGGUUUCAUUUUUUUAGUUUUGUUUUGUUCCCUUAACGUAAAGAGUUCCUUCGGUGACUGGUAUUGUUGACGGUGCAGCUCCAAGAGAACAACCACUCAAAAUCAAUGUUCAUGCAGGUUUAAAUAAAAACUGAUCAAAGAGAGGAGAGAUGGGGUGAGCCAAACCAAGACUGGUUGAGGGAGGGAUUUAAAAC